UGUCGGCAGUUUUAGGGAAGUCCGUGAUUAUACCAUCAAUUUUUAGGCCAUCAGCAUUUAGAUAUGAGUUUAUCUCAACAGUUGCAUCUGAGAAGAAAUCCCACGCUUGAGAAACAAACUCAUUGCUGAAUGUCUCUACAAAAACCGAGAGGUUGGCAGCGUUUAGCUUCGGCACNGUUUUNGUAGUGCUUGUNAGGAAUNNAUNANUNUNAGAAAAUACAGAGUUCUUNUUGACAAUCACAGCACUAGCAAAUUUCUUUAUAUCCUCAACAGCUGCAUUAGCAGCAUCACCGACAGUCUCGUCAAUGUUGUACACAAGCUCAUAACUGGUUUUCUCUUUGAAGUUUAGCAGUACAGAACUAUCAGUGGAUUGGAUAUAAACCUUUUGGGAUCCGGGUUUAUCAUAACCUGCCUCGCUCAAAGCAUUGAUUACUGCAUCAAUCACGCUUAAUCCUUGAUUCUCAGCAAGAUAGGCUGCAUUCUGAUAACAUGAACAACGAUACCAUCGAUGUUGGUAAAUUGAAGAUGAAAAGUACAAAAAAUCAUUAACACGCUCGAAACAUACAACAAUUAUUUGUUUUAUCAUCACCAUAAAAAAAAAGAAACAUUCUUUUCUUUGUAGAAAUAAAUCAUGCUGAAAAAGAGUCAGUGAAUAAGUAUUUAAUGUGAAAUUCACAUAUAUACAGGUUUUGGGCAAGUGAGCCAUAAGGUUUUUGGUUUCCAAAGAGAAAUAGUGAGCGGCACAAAGUACAAGAACUCUUGAGUUAAAAACUGUAUAUUUCAUAAUUUUUUGGCAUGGAUAUACAAGACUUUAGAACGAAAAUAUGGUCAGCGAAAACAAGUGCAACAGUUCUUUUAACCAUUUGAUAAAAAUAAGUCUUAACAUUCCAUAUUUCUAUUUGCCUCCUUUGACGGUGCAAUCAAUCAUAAGAAUUGUUAAAUAGUUAAGUGACCCUAAUCCAUUUUCACAAAAAAACUAGCUUUAUUAUUAUCAUAAAAAAGACUAAACGUUCAAAUAACAGCCCAUAUAAUAAAUCUAAUAGAGUUAACAGGUUGAAGGAACGCACCUCAACAGCGAUAGAGACACCAGAUAGAGAAGGCUCACUUUUUGUCAAGGACAAGAAAUCUGACAACGCCACCAAGUGCCCAAAAUUCUUAGCUUCUGGAUUCCUGAACAAUCUGUAUUUUGCAUAAGGAUUCAAUAUGGAGGCUGCAAGGAAAAUAAAGAGAAAAAUGUCAAAUAUUUGCUGUAACACGUUCUGGAGGCAGCCAAGUGAAAGGACCAUUAUUUAUGAAGGGAAGAAAUGUUGGGAUAAACUUAAAUUUAGAGAUUUAUUAUUUUGUUAGUUUUGAGUUUAGUAAUAUUUGGUUUGAUUUGAUAGAGAUAAAAUAGGAAUGGUAGUUAUGAUUUUCUAUUUAUCUAGGUAGAAUAUCAUUUUAUGAUAGAAUAGGAGAUUUGAUUUUUAGGCGGUUUGUGUAAUUUGCACCUAUUUAAAGGUUGCUAAAGUUUAAUGAAAAUAACCCACCCAUGGAUUGAAAAGUAAUAUUAUUUGUGUGGGUCAAACCCACAAUGAAUUGAAGUGUGAAACUAUUUGUGUGGUUUCACCGUUUGGUAUCAGACCCCAACAAGAAAUUUGUCGUGGUAGUUUAUCAGUGACACAUGAUUGUCCUUUAUAAAUUGAAGAUUUAAGCUAAUUUCCUCUUUAUUCCCAAAACACGAUUUGUACCAAUGUGCAAAUAUCUCCUAAAUUAUGGCUAGUUGAAAGUAUAGUCAAAUAAGCUUUGACAAGUCUGGAUUAACUCCAUGCAAAUACAGAAAUAUAGAAGACCAUUUGACCUAAUUGAAUAGCAAACAACUACAGAAAUUUCUGACUUACGGGUCAAAGUUUUUAUAUCACUCCACGUGAGGUUGAAUGCAAAUAUGCCACUGGUGGGUUUGAUCUGAGGGAUAGUCAUGGCAAAUUUGCUGAACGUUGAUUGGGCAACUGUCGUACUCUCUAUAAGAUCAAUGGAGUUUAAGCAAAAUGGUGUUCCAUCCUUUGAUAUUUGAACCGGACAGUCAAGAACANGUCGUACUCUCUAUAAGAUCAAUGGAGUUUAAGCAAAAUGGUGUUCCAUCCUUUGAUAUUUGAACCGGACAGUCAAGAACAUCCACACCGUACUCGAUGGCCUUCUUAUAUGCUAAGUCGGUACAAGCAGGAUAAUCACCACUUGCUCCAUAUUUUGAGAUAAUCAAAGCUUUAUCUGAAACAUAAUAAAAAAAAUUAAAGAAACAAAUCAAUAAUGAUGCAAACUUGGUUCCAUCAGAUGAUAAAAAAUCACGCACAAAAAAAAAAAAAAAAAAAACUAGAAAUAGCUAAGAACAUGAGAAUACAUAUUUCAAGAUUGUAACUACGUGUACCUUGUUUCGUGGCAUUGGUGCCUAACUGAGAAAAGCAACCUGCAUUACAAGAAGACAACCCAAUAUAUAAUUAAUAGAGAAAAUAAGAAUUAUUAACACAAGUGUACAUACAUGUUUUAAGGUUACAAUUUCAGUAUGCAAAAUGCAGGUGUUGGUUCCCAAGUGAUUAAUCACUAAAGUUCCAAAUUGAAUAAUAUGAAGUGAAAAGUAGAAACUAAGAGUUGAUUUGAAAGUAAUCAUCACAACUCAAUUAGUUCAAUUAGUUCCUUAGAUGUACAAAGGACUUUAGAAGUUGGUGUUAUUGGAAGAUUUGCAAUUUUGUUAAAAAAACAAAGUUACGAGGAGACAACUUGCUAUUUACUUUCAUGCAGUAAGGAAAUUGAACAUGUUUAUUGUGGGAGCAUGAAAUCCUGCAUGAAAUCCUCUAGAAAAAGUCAACACAAAUUCUAUCUGUAUCCUUCCUAUUAUCAAGGUUUGCAUAACUAUCUUAGUGGCAACCUCGUGAAAAGUGAACAUAACUCCUUACUAUGACUCGAAGAAUAAACUGGCUUAUGAAUAUACCAGUUCCGGGUAGAUUGAUCAGUAGAGUCCUGGAUAAUAAUCAUUUGACAUGCUGAUUCACACAAUAAAUCCUAUCUUGGAAAAGGUUAAAACAAUUUAACACACGUCGACUAAAGAUAAGUCCAAUUUAUAAUAUAUAAGGGGAUGUAAACCUCAUCUUAAAAACUGAUUUUGUAGGAUUGAAUUAGACUUAAAAUCCAUUUCUUAAUACACAUGAAGAAAAUUGAGGAUUUGGCCAUCCAUGGUCAUUCUAAAAUCAGAGAUGCAUGCAAAUGCAAGAGGCAACAGGCACACUUAAGGAGAUUCACUCAGACACUAUGAACUUUAAGAUAAUUUUAUCUGAUGAAACCUUAGAGCUACAUCAACUCCAUAUAAGGAGGAAUAUCAUGAGUUAGACUUAAAGUCUAUUUUUUAAUGCACACAAAGAAAAUUGAAGAUUUGGCCAUCCAUGGUCAUUCUAAAAUUGGAGAUGCAUGCAAACGCAAGUGGCAAGAGGCACAUUUAAGGAGAUUCACUCAGACAGUACGAACUUUAGGAUACUUUUAUUUGAUGAAACCUUAGAGCUGCAUCAACUCUAUACAAGGAGGAAUACCAUUGAGUCUAUUUUAGGGAAAUUUCUUCAGUUCAAAUUAACUUACACAUGAAUUAAUUUGUAGAUGUUAUUUCCUAUUAACCACAAAAUCUGACUUUUAACUCGUGAAUAAGCUAAGUUUAGGUUAUACGGAAGUUAAUUUAAUUUUUAUUUUAAUUUUGGUUUUUAUCCUAAAAUUAUUUAUGGAAAAUAUUCCUUCAAACAGAACCUACGUAUCAGUGAAAUAUAUUUAAGAGAAUGUUUGAACGGAGAUGUUUGAAGGGGAUGGGAUGACAGCAGAUUUUUCAUUUCGAUCUAGAAACAAAAAAGAAAAUUAGAAAACAGAACAAGCGAUGAUGAUUGGUAAUUUACAUAAUAAUCUCUGAUUUUAUUCUUCAAGUUCUGUUAUUUUAAGAAAUUCUCGAAUGUUUAGAUAAAAAAAAUACUUUUGGCUCUCCUCUGAUCUCUUCUAUCCAAAAAACACCCUACGUAAACAGGAUUUUGAUCAGACAAAAUGUAUGCUAUUUGUGACAGGCUAUCAUGGAAGAAAAAUAAACAAACUUACCUAUUGCUUCAAAUGCAGUAACGGGGAAAUCAGACAGCACACCAUCAACAGAGAAGUCACCGUUGUCUAUGAACUGGAGGUUCUCAGUAAGUGGAUCGUAACUGUAAUUGAAGCUAGAUGGAACAUCAUUCACAAAAUCUGAUCCAAAAACUUCCAGCCCCGCUUUAUGUGCAUCCGAGACCAAAGAUGUAUGUGGUUGUAGAUAAAGUCUUGCAUCUACUGGCCAUAUGUAUCCCUUCGGAACAAGAAUUCCAGAAGCAAAUGUCUUGAUAAAUGUAAGAUUCGUUAAAAGAGAUUCAUAAGUCUGAUUGGUCGAUGGUUCUACAUCAUUCUUUGCCAUGAACCGGAAGACCAGUUUUGUUGUUUUCGGGUUGAAGCGUGAUGAUAUACCUCUCAGAAAAUUAACCUCGGGUGAUGAGAUAUGACUGAAAACUAUUCUUUUAGAAGCUGAAAGCACAAAGCUUCUCAUACUCAAAUUGUGCUCUGCGUAGAANGCAUCGUGCUUUAAAAUAAAAGAGAUAACAAGAGUUAGUUUUAAAACAAACAAGGAGACUAAAUCAUGAGAAUGGAAUAUGCAUUCAUUCCAUUUACCUGAAUAUUCAACCAUAUUCCUUUCGGUUUUUGUUUAGAUGUAAGCAAAUCAUCCACAGUAAGAAUUGGAAAAACAUUGCCAUCAAACCGAUUGGUUCGAGAGUAUACUCCCUGAGUUACUGUCCAGAAACAACAAACAGUCAGCAACUAUACAAAAUAAGAACUGUCAGCAACACACAUGCACUGCAAAAAAGAAUCAUUUAGUCCAUAAAAUACCAAAAAUCUGAAACUAUUAAAUACAAAACUACAUGUUUUAAAUAAAUUAAACUCACAGGCGACACUGCUUAGCUGCUUCAUAGUGUAAUCCAGAGAAAAAUAGCCAUCGGUGGGUACUCCAUUAACCAAGUAACUCUUGGUUUGAUUAGGGUAAGAGAAAGCAAUGUAAGUGGAAUUUAAAAGGUUUAUGUCUGGCAGGCAAAUCCCAACUGCAUCUUUUGUUAACUGCACGUCACACCAUACAUAGACAUCCGGUCCACACGUUAUUACUGCCAAAUUAUAUGCACUAUCACUGGAAUCAGGAAAAAUCCCUGAAAAUCCACCACGUGCCACAACCAACGGCGGACCUCCUGCGAAACAAGAACACAAGUAAGUUUCAAAACACCUAGAGCAGUGAAAAAAAGUCGCAACAAUCUUUGACAUUAUGUCAACAAUCGUAUUCACUCAGACGUUCGCCUCAAGAUUGCAUGCAAAAAAUUGUUAAUGCUGAAAAUCCCACUUUCACAAGUUAAGUGAUAUGGCUAGAGAAGAGUAUUCGUUUCAGUUAGAACUAAAACCAGAUUCUAAAAUAGUUUCAAAACUUAUAUUAACAAUUUUUGGUAAGUUUAUCAAGUCACCCUUAGACCGUUAUCCGCUGCUGGAAGAUGGCUUAAUUUAAGAAACUGUCACAGAUUCCACAUCAACUACCGAUGGUGUGGUUAAAAACGAGUGUAUGUCAUAUCUUGAGCCAAAACCAUAAUUCUAUGAGGUGAAUCGACAAGGAUUUCAUUCAUCCAAAACAUUCGCUAACAAAUGAUAAUAAGCUUGAGAAACGCCAAACUAUGUAGAAGCACUACAUCAAUUAUCGACACAGCUUGGCCAUUUAUCCAAAUCCGUACUCAGCUCAAACUAAGCAAUGAAAGUUGAGAGAAAAGAAACGCACAGAUCCUACACUUGCUAGCAAGUUGGUUAGUAUCGGUUGCAAAAAUAGAAAGUGAAGAGAAAGAGAAGUAAAGAUCGAAGUAAGAGAGGAUACAUUAGAAGAAUGAGAGAGACAAUUAUACCGCUGAGUGUCUUCCAGGCAGAUCUCUGAGCAGAGACGGUAGCAAGGAGACAGUGAAGAAGAAGAAGAAGCACCGCGAGUGGAGCAGAGAGAGCGCGUGGAUUCCACAUCCCGGCAACGGUGGCAGAUUACGACGAAGUGAAAAACCCAACCACCUCAAAAAUGCAAAGAGGAGAGAGUAACUGUUUCUAUGUGUGACACAAUGAGGUCUUAACUCAGAAGCUGAACUUUUCUAAAGUGCUAAUGGCUUUUGUUAUUUUCUUUCUUGGGGUUAUAUCAUUGUGGAAUUACAUUUUUAUAUAUUAUUUAAUUAGAUUUAAUAUUGUUGUGUGAAAAAAUAAAAGAAAAGAAAAAAUGUUGGGGAAAGUGGACAAGCUGGCUUGAGCUAAGCCGCGGUUUUGACUGAUGUAGCAGGUGGUGCGGUCUGGGGUCCACAACGUGGUUGUCAAAACUCUGGCAAGGGACACGUGGCGUCGCUUUAUUGGUACCAAGUGCGUGAUUUGAGAAAACGCGCAAAACGGCGACGUUGUGCGUGGGUGUCCACCGUGGACGGACAACGUGCGACCGUGAAUUGCGACUGCGAUUUGAUUUGAUGGUCGUGUUUGAUAUUACAAUGAAUGAAGCCUGUCUGAACUUUGAUUCUACUGCGCUACAAUUAAUUUACUGUAAUAAUUAAUUAUAAAACUAAACACGGAUUAAAGUCUAAACCUAAAACAUCAAUUACACUAUAACUCAUUUCCAUUUCCAAAAUUAACUUAAUCUAUUGUUUUAUAUUAAGUUCAAACAGAUGAAUGACGAAGUAAGAUCAAUGAAUGGAAGUUUUCUUCUUCAAAGUUAUGGUCGUUAAAAUUUUCAUGUUAUCAAUUAACAAACAUUUAUUAAUGAAGUUUAUAACAGGUAAAAAAAAUUAAGACUUGCAUUAAGUAGGUAUGCCGUUUUAGAUGCUAAUUUUGUUUGUUGUUGACCUCAUUUAAUAGAGUUGUACUUUAUACUUUCCUAUUUGGUAUAGAAAAAAUAAAAGAAAAAAAUAAUCAGUUCUUAGAUUCUAUAAUUUCAGUUGAUUUUAUUGGUUGUCACCUCAAUCAGUAUAUAAGUUGAAAUUAUAUUUUUUUAAUUGGUAUAAAAAAGGAAAAAAUGGUUCGUAGAUUUUAUAUUUUCGGGUAAUUUUUGUUGGUUGGUCACCUCAUUUAAAGUAAUUUAAUUUCCACUUAUAUUUCAUUAAUUGGUAUAAAGAAGAAAAGAAAAAAAAAAUGGUCCUUAGAUUCUGUAUUUCGACCAAAUCUAUCAAGGGCAUUAAUUGUGACGUUAUAUUUAUAUAUUAAAAUCUGGGUGGAUUUAUUUUUCAAUUAAUUAUUCAUGCAAAAAUGUUUAUAUAUUGGUAAAAAGUGAGACUGAAUUUAAAAAAAAAAAUGCACUCAAGUCAUUUUAUGUACACAUGAUAAUAAAUAUGUAAUAAAUAGCAGUGGGUAAGGUUGCUUAUUUGUAAUUUGUUUAAGGGUUACGUUAUUUUAUUUUUGCAUGUCAUGUUCUAAUAAUAUUUCUUUAAUAUAUUUUUUUUCUCAUUUGAACUGGUCAUCAUUUUGUUUAUAAUCUCGUGUUGUACGUGUAAGGUUGAAUUAAAAUAACUAAAACUCACUUAUUUUUCUCUUUUAAUAUAUGGUUAAUUAACUAAAUUCUCAUUUAAUUUUAUGGUUUAUUAAAUGUUUUGGUCUCUUCAUUCUCAUGAUUUUAUUUUACAAAGUCUUUUGUAUAUUUUGGUCUUAAUCAAUGGUCAAUCUAGUGUGGCAUAGUUAACCAUUAUCAUUGUCACGUCAAAAUCAAUUAACAAUACUAAAUUGUCAACUAACAUAUAUAUAAAUAAAAAUCGUUGAAAAUUUUAACCCAUUCAUGCAACUAUAUCCUUUGUUUAUUUAACUCAUGAAUUAAAAGAAAAAUGUAUAUAAUUAUUGUAGAGUGAUAUGAGGAAAGGAAUAAAUGAAUGAGAAAAAAGAGAUAAUUGUUUUUUUUUUUUUGAAAACAAAAAUAAUUAUAAAGGAAUAAGUGAUUCUUACACUUAUUUAUGUUGAAAUUGAAAAAGAUAUAAUUAAAAAUUUUGCAACUAUUUAAAAAGAAAUAGUGAGUAUGAAAUCAAUAAUAUAUAUAUAUAUAUAUAUAUAUAUAUAUAUAUAUAUAUAUAUAUAUAAUUUUAACACUAUCACGUGAUCAUGUGGCCAGUAAAAUAUAAUUUUAACUUUGCGUGAAUGUUAGACAUUGAGAUUAUAAUUAAUUUGAUUAUAUUAUUUUAAUUCCUAAAAUUAUUAGUAAAAUCCUACUUAUGAUUAUAAUAAAAAGUGAUUGGGCUAAAGAAGAUGAAAGCUAAAAGACGAAGACUUUUGCUUUAAAGACAGAGAGACGAAGACUUAUUCUUUAUACUGUAAAGAGAUAUGAGCGGUGUAUUCAUUUCAGACAUAAAACAACAAUUUUGAUUUUGAAACAUCAUUUAUACAAUUAAGACGUAAAAACAAAAACAGAACAGAAGUUUCUGAUAAACUAAUGGGUAUGACAGCGAGUUUUGUGGUCAUCAUUUUCGAUUACGAUGAUGCUGCUGUCCCACUUUUCCCAUAGAUUAACUUAUCACAAUCUCUUCUUAAUACAAAUCAUUGUCCUGCUCUGACAUUUGGAGUUUCAAAACCGUUUUUCAGACCAAGACCAUUUCAAAACACCAUUUUCAUACUCUUCACUCUUCCAAAUUUUCUUUUUCAAUGCUUGAAUGUAAAAAAUAAUGUAUUUUUCAUUACCUGAGCUGGCAGGGUCCCUCCUUAUUCUUAAACCAAUGGCCAUGGAAAAAGAAAAAGAAAGGUUCUUUAAAUAUAUUCCUUAAACUAGACAAAGUAUAUGUGGCAUCUCACUUUUGAAAUGUAUUGUCACCCCUCUUGUCCAAGUGGUUUCAUUAUAUAUAUAUAUAUAUAUAUAUAUAUAUAUAUAUAUAUAUAUAUAUAUAUAUAUAUAUAUAUAGGAAAAAGUCUUUUUAACAAUUUUUUUUUUGACAACUCAUACGUGACAGUUUAUGGUUGGUCCAUUUCAAAUAUUUUUUUAAAAAUAAUUUCAAACAUACCAAUAAAAUGAUGACACAUGUCCUGUUGUCAAAAAGUUGUUAAAAAAGAGUUGUCAAAGUAUCAUUGUCCAUAUAUAUAUAUAUAUAUAUAUAUAUAUAUAUGAUGGAUAAUGAUAUUUUAACAACUAUUUUUUAACAACUUUUUUACAACAGGACACGUGUCACAAUUAUAUUGGUCUGUUUGAAUUUAUUCUAAAAGAAUAUUUGAAACAGACCAAUCACAAACUACCACGUAUGCAUUGUCAAAAAAUUAUCAAAAAAGAGUUGUUAAAAAGAAUUUUUCCAUAUAUGAUUGGAAAUAAUAAACUUUUUAUUUGGGAAAAAAGGGGUUGGUUAGGUUAAACCUUUUUGGUGCUUAAAGUUGAGCCAUGAGAAGUGUAUAAAGUGUGAAAAUAUAUGUAUAUGCUUAUUGUGAAUUUAAAAUUGUUGUUUUGGUAAAAUAUUUUUUUAAAUUAAUGACCGGCAAUAUUUCUUUUUAAUUUUGUGAGCAUGGGAGAUGGUGGAAUUUUCAUCGCAAUUAUACUUUUAAUGCAAGGGGCAAUGGAAAAUGACGUUGUGCAUAAUGACUGAAAUUAAUUUAAGUUAUGCAGAAUGGUUCCAAAAUCGACAAUUUUGAUGUUGUAAUGAAAGGAUCGGAAAAGAUAAUGUUUGAUAGAGUUAAGGAUGGGCUGUUGAAGUGUAGAAGCUGGGAUAAUGAAGGUUUGAUUUAGUCACGAAAACCGCGUCUCAUGUUUUUAACUUGGUUAUAGAUGUUUUGGCUGCUUGCUCUUUCAUGUAAUUUUUCUUUUCAGAGUGUGAAAAGUUGAGUUGUAAACACAAUGGAGUCAAAAACAUUGGUAAGUUGGUUUCUUUUUUUCAUCCUCUCAUUCUUUAUGACAGUUUUGUAUUGCUUCAUUUGACAACUAAUGUACAAGAGUUUGUUCUAUAUACCUCUAUCUAGGAGCAUACAUAGGAUUAGAUUCUUAACAAACAAACGAAUAAUAAUAGCUAAGUCAAUAAUAUAGAAGAUGACAAAUACCUAUUUUUAAAAUAGGAUCAUCAUAAUGACUUUCAUUUUAUGUUGACUUGAAUGAAUAAUAGGAUUGGACAUGUUUGUGGUUAAAGAAAUUAUAUUUGGAGCAUUAAGUUUAACUUAAAUUCAUCAUUGAUUGUUUUUACAUGGUUUAAUUUUUAUUUACUUUUAAUUUUUACCAGAGAAAAAUUCAUAGGACCAAAAAGUUUUUCACAAAAAAAAAUUCACAUAUCAAAAUAUACACAUAAAACGCUGGAUAUCCGUCCAUGAGCUUUCUUUUUAAAAAAAUUAUUUUGAAUAUAAGAAAGAAAAUGUAUUUAACUCUUAAUUAAUUUGUCACAAAUAUAAGUGUUUUUAAUUUGUUAAAUAACUAUAUACAAACAUUUUAAUCCAACUUACAUAAACUUUGUAAAAUAUUUCAAUAAAAUUGAUUGUUUUAAUUUGUCAAAUAACUAUAUAUAAACAUUUUAAUCCAAUUUACAUAAACUUUGUAAAAUAUUUUAAUAAAAUUGAUUGUUUGCUUAUAUACAAAAUUGUGUAAUAACAUAAAAAGUUAAAUUUUUGGCUAAACAUAUUUAAUUUUCCUUAACAAGGAUAAACAUAUUUUUAAAAUACAUAAAAUAAUUAUUUAAUAUGUUGUAUGAAAAAUUCAUCAUCAGAAUAAAAUAAAAUAUUUCAAAUUAAGAGUUUAAAAUAAUAAAUUUAUAAAUAACAAAUUUAUGAAUUUUUUAUAUUAUUUAUUGUUUAUUUCUUCUUUUUUUUAGUUAUGACUUAAAUUUAUACUUAAAUUUUAUCAUUUUUAAUAAUAUAUAUAUAUAUAUAUAUAUAUAUAUAUAUAUAUAUAAUGUAAUAUUUUUUAAUUAUGAAAUAAAAUAAGCCAGGAAUUUAUUAGAAUUAAUUCAAAUAUUCUCUUUGACUAAACUUCUUGUUUCUUUUGUUAUGUUUGAGAUCUUUAUUAAAUGUUAUAAGUUUUAUUCUCUAAGAAAUUAAUAAAUUUAUACUUAAAUUCUACUAAUUAUUAUUAUUAAAAUACAAAUAUUGUUAAAUUUAUCAAACAAAAUGUUCUUAAAGGUGCUUAUAAAAUAGUACAUUAUUAUAUUUUAAAUUAAAUGCAUUCACUAGAUGCAUGUAUUCUUACCUUAAUUCCUAUAAACAAAUAAAAAAAUCAGUCUUUUUACGUUAGAAGUAUUCAUGUUAUUGUUUCUUUUUCUCUAUGGUAACAACAAAAUUCGAAUUUAAGAUCUUAUAUAAGUUAAACAAAUCCUUAGUUAAGGUAACUCAAGUGGGUGGUUUCGGUUGCAUUGGAUAAUAAUACAUCAUGAUUAUUUUAUUCUUCUAAAAGUGCGUUUUGCUCAUUUUCCACUUUCUGCACUUCCAACACUCAUUAGCCUUCAAUCAAAGAGAACAGCAGCAUUCAAAGACGCCCAUAUGUUUUGCAUUCGACAAUGCUGUGAUUUCUGUUAAUUGUAAGAUCAGGAGAGAAAUAGCAGUUUAUUGUGGAUAAUUUUCAGAAAAGAGGACCUCAAUUUGUUAAUCUCGUCAGAUGCAUAAAAAUAUAAAUAUAUCUUACAACAAGACACACAAAAUACACGUCUGAAAAGAAUUCAUGGAUAUAUAUAUAUAUAUAUACCACGCUAACUUAUGACUACAGCAUAACCCCGAGAAGCAAUUGGGGAGCUAAGAAUGGACAAUCAUAGCUACAACAAAGUAGAUUGAAAGAAUUUGCUCCUUUCAAGAAGAACAAAAACUGUGGAUUGUUCAUGUAUUCAGUCUAAAGCCAAAAGCUUUCAUGCCAUUCAAUCUAAAAGGGAUGUGCAAAUAAGGGGUUGAAACCAGCAAAAGGUUUUCUUAGAAGGACGUUUAGAGAUGAUUUUGCUCAAAGCAGAAGAAGGGAAGCUAUGAACACAGCCAGAGAGGAAAAGAAGAAGCAGACAGCAACCUUAGGCUGUGCAUUUCCUUGUGGUGCUGGGGUUCCAGAUCUGGGGCUUGAAACUGGGGCUAUUUUAGCAACAGGAGGCAAAGGUGGCACUGCAACUUCAGAUUUUGUCAAGGGUGGGAGUGGAGCUUGAGCUGGAGGCAAGAAAUCUGUGGUAAUGAGAGAAAAAAGACCACCUGGUUGAACAGGGGCCAUGUAAGUAGGUCUCUUGUCACCCAAAUUUAAGCAUUUGUUCCCUGCAGUAAAAUGGAGAAAAAAAUGUUUCAGUAAUGAAGAGGCUCAUAAAAGACAACCACAUGGUACGGCAGAAAUUGCUGGCAUGGCACUUACUUCUGUAUCUGUCGGCAGUUUUAGGGAAGUCUGUGAUGAUACCAUCAAUUUUUAGGCCAUCAGCAUUUAGAUAUGAGUUUAUCUCAACAGUUGCAUCUGAGAAGAAAUCCCACGCUUGAGAAACAAACUCAUUGCUGAAUGUCUCUACAAAAACNGAGAGGUUGGCAGCGUUUAGCUUCGGCACGGUUUUCGUAGUGCUUGUCAGGAAUUCAUUAUUUUUAGAAAAUACAGAGUUCUUGUUGACAAUCACAGCACUAGCAAAUUUCUUUAUAUCCUCAACAGCUGCAUUAUCAGCAUCACCGACAGUCUCGUCAAU
RNAcentral lists this long non-coding RNA (12635 nucleotides) under Vigna radiata. Its description in RNAcentral is "long non-coding RNA (VRAD_LNC004376)". Lineage: Eukaryota; Viridiplantae; Streptophyta; Magnoliopsida; Fabales; Fabaceae. The record is from RNAcentral.